GGAAUAUUGGGCAAUGCCCGCAAGGGUGACCCAGCAACGCCGCGUGGAGGAUGAAUGUCGUAGGAUUGUAAACUCCUGUUAGAGGGGAAGAAUAGUACCGGUUGGACCGGUAUAUGACUGUGCUCUCAGAGAGAGCCCCGGCUAGCUACGUGCCAGCAGCCGAGGUAAUACGGAGGGGGCAAGCGUUGACCGGCUUUACGGGGUGUAAAGGGGGCGCAGGCGGGAUAAAAAGUCAGUGGUGAAAUCCUACAGCUUAACUGUAGAACUGCCUUUGAUACUUUUAUUCUUGAGUGCGGGAGAGAGAGACGGAAUUCCAGGUGUAGUGGUGAAAUACGUAGAUAUCUGGAAGAACACCAGUUGCGAAGGCGGUCUCUUGGUCCGACACUGACGCUGAGGCGCGAAAGCGUGGGGAGCAAACA
RNAcentral lists this ribosomal RNA (419 nucleotides) under uncultured bacterium. Its description in RNAcentral is "bacterial SSU rRNA". It matches the Rfam family "Bacterial small subunit ribosomal RNA", at positions 358 to 774 of the family's 1533-position model. The record is from RNAcentral.